Molecule: ribosomal RNA, 439 nt
Filed under: uncultured bacterium
Lineage: Bacteria
Description: partial 16S ribosomal RNA
Rfam family: Bacterial small subunit ribosomal RNA
Source: RNAcentral
CUACGGGCUGCUCCAGUGGGGAAUAUUGGACAAUGGGCGCAAGCCUGAUCCAGCAAUGCCGCGUGAGUGAAGACGGCCUUAGGGUUGUAAAACUCUUUCGCUAGGGAAGAUAAUGACUGUACCUAGUAAAGAAGUCCCGGCUAACUCCGUGCCAGCAGCCGCGGUAAUACGGAGGGGACUAGCGUUGUUCGGAAUUACUGGGCGUAAAGAGUUCGUAGGCGGACUGACAAGUUAGAGGUGAAAUCCCAGGGCUCAACCCUGGAACUGCCUUUAAAACUGUCAGUCUAGAGACCGGAAGAGGUUAGGGGAAUACCUAGUGUAGAGGUGAAAUUCGUAGAUAUUAGGUGGAACACCAGUGGCGAAGGCGCCUAACUGGUCCGGUACUGACGCUGAGGAACGAAAGCGUGGGGAGCAAACAGGAUUAGAUACCCUAGUAGUC